Molecule: ribosomal RNA, 469 nt
Filed under: uncultured bacterium
Lineage: Bacteria
Description: partial 16S ribosomal RNA
Rfam family: Bacterial small subunit ribosomal RNA
Source: RNAcentral
GGACGAACGCUGGCGGCGUGCUUAACACAUGCAAGUCGACCGGAAAGGCCCUGCUUUUGUGGGGUGCUCGAGUGGCGAACGGGUGAGUAACACGUGAGUAACCUGCCCUUGACUUUGGGAUAACUUCAGGAAACUGGGGCUAAUACCGGAUAGGAGCUCCUGCUGCAUGGUGGGGGUUGGAAAGUUUCGGCGGUUGGGGAUGGACUCGCGGCUUAUCAGCUUGUUGGCGGGGUAGUGGCUUACCAAGGCUUUGACGGGUAGCCGGCCUGAGAGGGUGACCGGCCACAUUGGGACUGAGAUACGGCCCAGACUCCUACGGGAGGCAGCAGGGGGGAAUAUUGCACAAUGGGCGGAAGCCUGAUGCAGCAACGCCGCGUGCGGGAUGACGGCCUUCGGGUUGUAAACCGCUUUCGCCUGUGACGAAGCGUGAGUGACGGUAAUGGGUAAAGAAGCACCGGCUAACUACGUG